UCUCCGUUGGUGAACCAGCGGAGGGAUCAUUACCGAGUUUACAACUCCAAAACCCCUGUGAACAUACCAUUUGUUGCCUCGGCGGUGCCUGCUUCGGCAGCCCGCCAGAGGACCCAAACCCUUGAUUUUAUACAGUAUCUUCUGAGUAAAUGAUUAAAUAAAUCAAAACUUUCAACAACGGAUCCCUUGGUUCUG
RNAcentral lists this unclassified non-coding RNA (195 nucleotides) under plant metagenome. RNAcentral's name for it is "partial contains small subunit ribosomal RNA, internal transcribed spacer 1, and 5.8S ribosomal RNA". The record is from RNAcentral.